GAGUUUGAUCAUGGCUCAGGAUGAACGCUAGCGACAGGCUUAACACAUGCAAGUCGAGGGGCAGCGGGGGCGUAGCAAUAUGCCUGCCGGCGACCGGCGCACGGGUGAGUAACACGUAUGUAACCUGCCCUAUGCAGGGGGAUAACCCGGAGAAAUCCGGCCUAAUACCGCGUAACACCUUUUGGGAGCAUUCUCGGGAGGUUAAAGGAGAGAUCCGGCAUAGGAUGGACAUGCGUCGCAUUAGGUAGACGGCGGGGUAACGGCCCACCGUGCCGACGAUGCGUAGGGGUUCUGAGAGGAAGGCCCCCCACACUGGUACUGAGACACGGACCAGACUCCUACGGGAGGCAGCAGUGAGGAAUAUGGGUCAAUGGCCGAGAGGCUGAACCAGCCAAGUCGCGUGAGGGAAGAAUGUCCUAAGGAUUGUAAACCUCUUUUGUCGGGGAGCAAAAAAGCUCUGCGGAGUCGUAUUGAGAGUACCCGAAGAAAAAGCAUCGGCUAACUCCGUGCCAGCAGCCGCGGUAAUACGGAGGAUGCGAGCGUUAUCCGGAUUUAUUGGGUUUAAAGGGUGCGCAGGCGGCGUGUCAAGCAAGCGGUAAAAUAGCGGGGCUCAACCCCGUCGAGCCGUUUGAACUGGCGCGCUUGAGUUCAGGCGAGGUAGGCGGAAUUCGUGGUGUAGCGGUGAAAUGCAUAGAUAUCACGAAGAACUCCGAUUGCGAAGGCAGCUUACCAGUCUGCGACUGACGCUCAGGCACGAAAGUGUGGGUAUCGAACAGGAUUAGAUACCCUGGUAGUCCACACAGUAAACGAUGAGCGCUAGGUGUCCGGGUCGCAUGAGACUUGGGUGCCCGAGCGAAAGCGUUAAGCGCUCCACCUGGGGAGUACGCCGGCAACGGUGAAACUCAAAGGAAUUGACGGGGGCCCGCACAAGCGGAGGAACAUGUGGUUUAAUUCGAUGAUACGCGAGGAACCUUACCCGGGCUCAAACGACUCAGGAAUAUAUUGGAAACGAUGUAGCCAGCAAUGGUCUGAGUCGAGGUGCUGCAUGGUUGUCGUCAGCUCGUGCCGUGAGGUGUCGGCUUAAGUGCCAUAACGAGCGCAACCCCUACCGCCAGUUGCCAACGGGUAAAGCCGGGAACUCUGGCGGGACUGCCGGCGCAAGCUGCGAGGAAGGCGGGGAUGACGUCAAAUCAGCACGGCCCUUACGUCCGGGGCGACACACGUGUUACAAUGGCAGGUACAGCGGGAAGCCACCUGGUGACAGGGAGCGGAACCCGAAAGCCUGUCUCAGUUCGGAUUGGAGUCUGCAACUCGACUCCAUGAAGCUGGAUUCGCUAGUAAUCGCGCAUCAGCCAUGGCGCGGUGAAUACGUUCCCGGGCCUUGUACACACCGCCCGUCAAGCCAUGGGAGCCGGGGGUGCCUGAAGUACGUGACCGCGAGGAGCGUCCUAGGGCAAAACUGGUGACUGGGGAUAAGUCGUAACAAGGU
Molecule: ribosomal RNA, 1489 nt
Filed under: uncultured bacterium
Lineage: Bacteria
Description: 16S ribosomal RNA
Rfam family: Bacterial small subunit ribosomal RNA
Source: RNAcentral